This 59-nucleotide transfer RNA is filed under the name Goera fissa. RNAcentral describes it as "tRNA-Ser". The record is from RNAcentral. Lineage: Eukaryota; Metazoa; Arthropoda; Insecta; Trichoptera; Goeridae.
GAAAUAAAAAAUAUUUAAGCUGCUAACUUAAAUUUUAGUGAUUUUUCAUUAUUAUUUCU